UACGUAGGGGGCAAGCGUUGUCCGGAUUUAUUGGGCGUAAAGAGCGUGUAGGCGGCCAGGUAGGUCAGCUGUGAAAACUCGAGGCUCAACCUCGAGACGUCGGUUGAAACCACCUGGCUAGAGUCCGGAAGAGGAGAGUGGAAUUCCUGGUGUAGCGGUGAAAUGCGCAGAUAUCAGGAAGAACACGCGUGGCGAAGGCGGCUCUCUGGGACGGUACUGACGCUGAGACGCGAAAGCGUGGGGAGCGAACAGG
RNAcentral lists this ribosomal RNA (253 nucleotides) under uncultured bacterium. RNAcentral's name for it is "partial 16S ribosomal RNA". It matches the Rfam family "Bacterial small subunit ribosomal RNA", at positions 524 to 776 of the family's 1533-position model. The record is from RNAcentral.